RNAcentral lists this ribosomal RNA (1343 nucleotides) under uncultured bacterium. Its description in RNAcentral is "16S ribosomal RNA". It matches the Rfam family "Bacterial small subunit ribosomal RNA", at positions 28 to 1378 of the family's 1533-position model. The record is from RNAcentral.
GACGAACGCUGUCGGCGUGCUUAACACAUGCAAGUCGAACGGAAAGGCCCUGCUUUUGUGGGGUGCUCGAGUGGCGAACGGGUGAGUAACACGUGAGUAACCUGCCCUUGACUUUGGGAUAACUUCAGGAAACUGGGGCUAAUACCGGAUAGGAGCUCCUGCUGCAUGGUGGGGGUUGGAAAGUUUCGGCGGUUGGGGAUGGACUCGCGGCUUAUCAGCUUGUUGGUGGGGUAGUGGCUUACCAAGGCUUUGACGGGUAGCCGGCCUGAGAGGGUGACCGGCCACAUUGGGACUGAGAUACGGCCCAGACUCCUACGGGAGGCAGCAGUGGGGAAUAUUGCACAAUGGGCGGAAGCCUGAUGCAGCAACGCCGCGUGCGGGAUGACGGCCUUCGGGUUGUAAACCGCUUUCGCCUGUGACGAAGCGUGAGUGACGGUAAUGGGUAAAGAAGCACCGGCUAACUACGUGCCAGCAGCCGCGGUGAUACGUAGGGUGCGAGCGUUGUCCGGAUUUAUUGGGCGUAAAGGGCUCGUAGGUGGUUGAUCGCGUCGGAAGUGUAAUCUUGGGGCUUAACCCUGAGCGUGCUUUCGAUACGGGUUGACUUGAGGAAGGUAGGGGAGAAUGGAAUUCCUGGUGGAGCGGUGGAAUGCGCAGAUAUCAGGAGGAACACCAGUGGCGAAGGCGGUUCUCUGGGCCUUUCCUGACGCUGAGGAGCGAAAGCGUGGGGAGCGAACAGGCUUAGAUACCCUGGUAGUCCACGCUGUAAACGGUGGGUACUAGGUGUGGGGUCCAUUCCACGGGUUCCGUGCCGUAGCUAACGCUUUAAGUACCCCGCCUGGGGAGUACGGCCGCAAGGCUAAAACUCAAAGGAAUUGACGGGGCCCCGCACAAGCGGCGGAGCAUGCGGAUUAAUUCGAUGCAACGCGUAGAACCUUACCUGGGUUUGACAUGGAUCGGGAGUGCUCAGAGAUGGGUGUGCCUCUUUUGGGGUCGGUUCACAGGUGGUGCAUGCCUGUCGUCAGCUCGUGUCGUGAGAUGUUGGGUUAAGUCCCGCAACGAGCGCAACCCUUGUUCACUGUUGCCAGCACGUUAUGGUGGGGACUCAGUGGAGACCGCCGGGGUCAACUCGGAGGAAGGUGGGGAUGACGUCAAGUCCUCAUGCCCCUUAUGUCCAGGGCUUCACGCAUGCUACAAUGGCUGGUACAGAGAGUGGCGAGCCUGUGAGGGUGAGCGAAUCUCGGAAAGCCGGUCUCAGUUCGGAUUGGGGUCUGCAACUCGACCUCAUGAAGUCGGAGUCGCUAAUAAUCGCAGAUCAGCAACGCUGCGGUGAAUACGUUCCCGGG